AUUGAACGCUGGCGGCAUGCUUUACACAUGCAAGUCGAACGGCAGCGCGGGCUUCGGCCUGGCGGCGAGUGGCGCACGGGUGAGUAAUGCAUCGGAACGUGCCCAGUAGUGGGGGAUAGCCCGGCGAAAGCCGGAUUAAUACCGCAUACGACCUGAGGGUGAAAGCGGGGGACCGAAAGGCCUCGCGCUAUUGGAGCGGCCGAUGUCGGAUUAGCUAGUUGGUGGGGUAAAGGCUUACCAAGGCGACGAUCCGUAGCUGGUCUGAGAGGACGACCGGCCACACUGGGACUGAGACACGGCCCAGACUCCUACGGGAGGCAGCAGUGGGGAAUUUUGGACAAUGGGGGCAACCCUGAUCCAGCCAUGCCGCGUGCGGGAAGAAGGCCUUCGGGUUGUAAACCGCUUUUGUUCGGGAAGAAAUCCUCUGGGCUAAUACCCCGGGGGGAUGACGGUACCGGAAGAAUAAGCACCGGCUAACUACGUG
RNAcentral lists this ribosomal RNA (484 nucleotides) under uncultured bacterium. RNAcentral's name for it is "partial 16S ribosomal RNA". It matches the Rfam family "Bacterial small subunit ribosomal RNA", at positions 28 to 507 of the family's 1533-position model. The record is from RNAcentral.